This 460-nucleotide ribosomal RNA is filed under the name uncultured bacterium. Its description in RNAcentral is "partial 16S ribosomal RNA". It matches the Rfam family "Bacterial small subunit ribosomal RNA", at positions 338 to 795 of the family's 1533-position model. The record is from RNAcentral.
UCUACGGGAGGCAGCAGUGAGGAAUAUUGGUCAAUGGGCGCGAGCCUGAACCAGCCAAGUAGCGUGAAGGAUGACUGCCCUACGGGUUGUAACCUUCUUUUAUAAAGGAAUAAAGUGAGGCACGUGUGCCUUUUUGUAUGUACUUUAUGAUUAAGGAUCGGCUAACUCCGUGCCAGCAGCCGCGGGAAUACGGAGGAUCCGAGCGUUAUCCGGAUUUAUUGGGUUUAAAGGGUGAGUAUCUGGGUUGUUAAGUCAGUUGUGAAAGUUUGCGGCUCAACCGUAAAAUUGCAAUUGAUACUGGCAGUCUUGAGGACAGUUGAGGUAGGCGGAAUUCGUGGUGUAGCGGUGAAAUGCUUAGAUAUCACGAAGAACUCCGAUUGCGAAGGCAGCUUACUAAACUGCCACUGACAUUGAUGCUCGAAAGUGUGGGUAUCAAACAGGAUUAGAUACCCCAGUAGUC